GAACGGUCAGUUCCUACCGGGAAGUCAGCGAUAGUAAUCUUUCGCAUGACGACCGACGAGCAGCGCUGAGUGAAGAAGUUUUCGAUCGUAAACUCUGUUGUAGAGAGACAUACGUAGUACUGACGUCCCUUGACGUAUCUAACAGAAAGCACGCUAACUACGUGCCAGCAGCGCGGUAAUACGUAGGUCAAGCGUGUCCGGAUUUAUUGGGCGUAAAGCGAGCGCAGGCGGUUUCUUAAGUCUGAUGUGAAAGCCCCCGGCUCAACCCGGGGAGGUUGGAAACUGGGAGACUUGAGUGCAGAAGAGGAGAGUGGAAUUUCCAUGUGUAGCGGUAAAUGCGUAGAAUAUGGAGGAACACAGUGGCGAAGGCGGCUCUCUGGUCUGUAACUGACGCUGAGGCUCGAAAGCGGGGGAGCAAACAGGAUUAGAUCCCUGGUAGUCCACGCCGUAACGAUGAGUGCUAAGUGUUGGAGGGUUUCCGCCCUUCAGUGCUGCAGCAAACGCAUUAAGCACUCAGUACGACCGCAAGGUUGAAACUCAAAGGAAUUGACGGGGGCCCGCACAAGCGGUGAGCAUGUGGUUUAAUUCGAAGCAACGCGAAGAACCUUACCAGGUCUUGACAUCCUUUGACCACUCUAGAGAUAGAGCUUUCCCUUCGGGGACAAAGUGACAGGUGGUGCAUGGUUGUCGUCGCUCGUGUCGUGAGAUGUUGGUUAAGUCCCGCAACGAGCGCAACCCUUAUUGUUAGUUGCCAUCAUUUAGUUGGGCACUCUAGCGAGACUGCCGGUGACAAACCGGAGGAAGGUGGGGAUGACGUCAAAUCAUCAUGCCCCUUAUGACCUGGGCUACACACGUGCUACAAUGGGAAGUACAACGAGUCGCUAGACCGCGAGGUCAUGCAAAUCUCUUAAAGCUUCUCUCAUUCGGAUUGCAGGCUGCAUCGCCUGCAUGAAGCCGGAAUCGCUAGUAAUCGCGGAUCAGCACGCCGCGGUGAAUACGUUCCCGGGCCUUGUACACCCGCCCGUCACACCACGAGAGUUUGUAACACCCGAAGUCGG
RNAcentral lists this ribosomal RNA (1058 nucleotides) under Enterococcus faecalis. RNAcentral describes it as "bacterial SSU rRNA". It matches the Rfam family "Bacterial small subunit ribosomal RNA", at positions 324 to 1430 of the family's 1533-position model. Lineage: Bacteria; Bacillati; Bacillota; Bacilli; Lactobacillales; Enterococcaceae. The record is from RNAcentral.